AUGGUCCUCAAACUUGACUUCGCCAAGGCGUUCGACUCCAUCAACUGGGCGAGCUUGCGCGCUGUGAUGGAGGCCAGGGGGUUCCCGUCGCUCUGGUGCGACUGGAUGGAUGCCCUCUUCCACUCCUCGAGCUCGGCGGUCUUGUUGAACAGGGUGCCAGGG
RNAcentral lists this ribosomal RNA (162 nucleotides) under Triticum aestivum (bread wheat). RNAcentral describes it as "partial small subunit ribosomal RNA". Lineage: Eukaryota; Viridiplantae; Streptophyta; Magnoliopsida; Poales; Poaceae. The record is from RNAcentral.